ACAGUGAAACUGCGAAUGGCUCAUUAAAUCAGUUAUCGUUUAUUUGAUAGUACCUUACUACAUGGAUAACCGUGGUAAUUCUAGAGCUAAUACAUGCUAAAAACCCCGACUUCGGAAGGGGUGUAUUUAUUAGAUAAAAAACCAACGCCCUUCGGGGCUCCUUGGUGAUUCAUAAUAACUUAACGAAUCGCAUGGCCUUGAGCCGGCGAUGGUUCAUUCAAAUUUCUGCCCUAUCAACUUUCGAUGGUAGGAUAGUGGCCUACCAUGGUAUCAACGGGUAACGGGGAAUUAGGGUUCGAUUCCGGAGAGGGAGCCUGAGAAACGGCUACCACAUCCAAGGAAGGCAGCAGGCGCGCAAAUUACCCAAUCCCGACACGGGGAGGUAGUGACAAUAAAUACUGAUACAGGGCUCUUUUGGGUCUUGUAAUUGGAAUGAGUACAAUUUAAAUCCCUUAACGAGGAACAAUUGGAGGGCAAGUCUGGUGCCAGCAGCCGCGGUAAUUCCAGCUCCAAUAGCGUAUAUUAAAGUUGUUGCAGUUAAAAAGCUCGUAGUUGAACCUUGGGCCUGGCUGGCCGGUCCGCCUCACCGCGUGUACUGGUCCGGCCGGGCCUUUCCUUCUGGGGAUCCGCAUGCCCUUCACUGGGUGUGCCGGGGAACCAGGACUUUUACUUUGAAAAAAUUAGAGUGUUCAAAGCAGGCCUUUGCUCGAAUACAUUAGCAUGGAAUAAUAGAAUAGGACGUGCGGUUCUAUUUUGUUGGUUUCUAGGACCGCCGUAAUGAUUAAUAGGGAUAGUCGGGGGUGUCAGUAUUCAAUUGUCAGAGGUGAAAUUCUUGGAUUUAUUGAAGACUAACUACUGCGAAAGCAUUCACCAAGGAUGUUUUCAUUAAUCAGUGAACGAAAGUUAGGGGAUCGAAGACGAUCAGAUACCGUCGUAGUCUUAACCGUAAACUAUGCCGACUAGGGAUCGGGCGAUGUUAUCAUUUUGACUCGCUCGGCACCUUACGAGAAAUCAAAGUCU
This 1020-nucleotide ribosomal RNA is filed under the name Spissiomyces ramosus. RNAcentral's name for it is "SSU rRNA". It matches the Rfam family "Eukaryotic small subunit ribosomal RNA", at positions 78 to 1106 of the family's 1831-position model. Lineage: Eukaryota; Fungi; Ascomycota; Dothideomycetes. The record is from RNAcentral.